AAAACCAACAUUAACGCUUUUCCGUUUAAAUGGGCAAAAAAACGGAUUACAAACGGUUAGUAAACGGAUGCCGUAAAGCGUUUUCACGCUUCGUUAAAACGUUAAAACGGUUCGAUGAAAAAAUUUAACGCUUUCAAGAAAGCGUUUUUACGCUUUGGUGAAAGCGUUUGCACGGAUACGAAUAACCGUUUAAACGCACAGAAAAAUGAACCGUUUUUUUGGAUGGGCCUAUUCAUCCGUAUAAACGGUUUGACGAAUUUAUAUACCCAAUUUCACGGACGAAACCAGACGAUUUGGGGAAUCCUUUGAUCGCAGACCAUGAUACUGGUGUUUAAAUCAAACAACGGUAAAAUAUGUCAACUGUCUGUUGCAUGGGCAUGUUUGAUAUACCGGGAGGGGGGAAAUGAUUAACAGGAAAUUGCAUUCCGGAUAUUAAAUUGUAAUCAUGCAUUUGGCAUGUAUGGUCAUUGCACAUUUGCGCUUUGAAGGCUGUUGCCAGCUAUAUAAAUCGGCGCACGGGAUCGGCGAAGUGAACAAAUAUGAAAUGGCGCCAAUCAAGUUCAUAAGCACGCGGGUAAAGAUCUUUACCAAUAAUUUCGCGAAGUCCUAUCCCAAAUAUUUGCUGGAUAUUCAAAUCUAUGGAUACGUCGAGGUGUUUUAACACGUGCAUAUAAAGGUAUGAACACAUAUUGAUUAAUUUCUAGACUGUAGUGUUUGAUAUAAGGCAUGUUUGAUUAAAAAUACUUUAUGCAUCAGUCGCGCUUGGAAAUAAUUCCCGUCAAGCAUUGAAAUCAGGCCCUAUCGAUGAAAUCAUGAAUCAUCAGAUUUCGUAUUACUGUUGGCUCGAUCAAAACUUUAUUUUUUUUGCCUUGUGUGCAUAUAUAUUUAUUUGUUAAGUGUGUGCAUAUAUAUUUAUUUGUUAAGU
RNAcentral lists this unclassified non-coding RNA (925 nucleotides) under Dendronephthya gigantea. RNAcentral's name for it is "zinc finger protein 271-like, transcript variant X2". Lineage: Eukaryota; Metazoa; Cnidaria; Anthozoa; Malacalcyonacea; Nephtheidae. The record is from RNAcentral.